Molecule: unclassified non-coding RNA, 231 nt
Filed under: fungal sp.
Lineage: Eukaryota; Fungi
Description: partial internal transcribed spacer region
Source: RNAcentral
AAGUCGUAACAAGGUUUCCGUAGGUGAACCUGCGGAAGGUGAACCAAUGUCGUGCUCUCGUAGCCCAAGAUGAACAGCAAUCCCCGGUAAAGCAAGGUGUUUCUGCAGUAUUUGAUUCAGGCACCUCUGCUUUGAAAGGAUAGUUACGAAUGUUGCGCUAGUUUCAGAGGCGUGGCUCGGCGAGCAAGUGUCAAAACCGAACAACUGUUAACAAUGGAUAUCUUGGUUCUC